RNAcentral lists this long non-coding RNA (1438 nucleotides) under Macaca fascicularis (crab-eating macaque). RNAcentral describes it as "lncRNA (ENSMFAG00000053447.1)". Lineage: Eukaryota; Metazoa; Chordata; Mammalia; Primates; Cercopithecidae. The record is from RNAcentral.
UUUUUUUUUUUUUUUUGAGAGAGACUCUUGCUCUGUCACCCAGGCUGGAGUGCAGUGGCGUGACUGUAGCUCACUGUAACCUCAAACUCCUGGGCUUAAGCAGAUCUCCCACUUCAGCCUCCCAAGUAGCUGGGACUAUAGGUGUGCACCACCAUGCCUAGCUACCUUUAAAAUUUUUUCAUAGAGAUGGGAUCUUGCUAUAUUGCCCAGGCUGGUCUCAAACUCCUGACCUCAAGUGAUCCUUCUGCCCUCAGCCUCCCAAAGCACUAGGAAUAUAGACGUUAGCUACCGCAUCCAGCCAAAGCUGACAUUUUGGUUGUCAUCUACCUAGCUUAUUUGCCAAUCUCUCAUCUGGUUCAGAGCUGCAGGAGAGAACAUCAUAAAGUGUAAUUCACUGGGACUCUUCAUGGGACUCUUCAAUGCCAACAGUCACUUUAAUAUCACUGGAACCUCCCUCUCUGCCUCAGGCUAGUCCAGGCAAACACGCAGUAGGGCACUGGGAUUAGGAGCACUGGCCCAUUGUUAGUGCACGGGGACUCCCCAUUUACACCUGCUAGGAGAAAAUGGCCCUAGCCGCCUUAGGUGGAGGCAGCAGAGUGUUGGCUCAGGUGUCUGACCAGCAUAGGUGGUGCUGAACGCAGGGGCUCAGAUGAUUCGCUCAGGACCAGUUCCUCUCUUCCCAUUGCUUGGUUUCUUUCUUCUGUGUUGACCACACCCUCAGGCAGGCUCUCCCCUUAGAGUGGCUGCCAGCAGCAACCAGACUCUAUAUUACAAGUUGAAAUCCUACUGAGAACAGCAGGGAGUCUUUUUUUCUAAGCAUCCCAGCAGUGCUGUGAUUCUAUGGCCUGGGGUGUGUCUGUCUCCUGAACCAAUGAUUAAUCAGAACCAAAACCAUCUUCCCCGUACUUGUCCUGGGCACUGAGAAUGGAAAUUACACCUCACGGUCUAGAGUAACAUGACCUGCUUAUGUCACUGUCUUCAUUUGCAUUUCUCUACUCUGCUGGGACUGUCCUGCCCAAGCAAAUGGUUCAACCGUUCAUUGCAGCAACUUCCAGGAAGAUCUAUCAGCUCUUCAGUGGAAAGCAUCAACAGUUUGAACCCUAAGAUUCUUUGAAUGUUGUGGUUCAAAAUCCUAGCCUGCUUUUCCCACCAAUCCAGGACUGUUGUACUGUGAUCUCUGCCCUGUCUGAAGCAAACCAACUCUUCCUCCCACAGACUCGCUUUAAACCAAACUUCCAGUUCUCCAUACAUCCCGAGCUUAUCUUUCACUUCUGCUGGAAGCAAUAAGCUCAGCUUUGUCUUAUCCACUGGUCGUGAUGGUAAUGUCUGGGGAGCCCACUUCUGACACGAAGAUGGUAGAAUCCCCCAAUGGGAAGGGGGCUGAGCCCACGAAGAACUCUUGUAAGUGCCAACGACAGGGUCAGCUUCAAAUAUGUCC